Molecule: long non-coding RNA, 1830 nt
Organism: Helicoverpa armigera (cotton bollworm)
Lineage: Eukaryota; Metazoa; Arthropoda; Insecta; Lepidoptera; Noctuidae
Exons: 2
Source: RefSeq, a predicted model, not a curated record
UCACUAGUUAAUUUUAUUAUUUACUUCACUCACUUCACUCUUCACUUUUUUUUUGUCUUUCAAUGAGCGAUGUUGUGCACAAUAAAAUAAAACGAAAGUUUUUAAAUUCUUGAAAUUUUGUAGGCCAAACAUUUUACUUCAAAGGAACUUUCACGUGACACAAACAAGUGCAUUUCCGUGGAAUUUUUAAUCGUUCCGGUACAAUUCCUGCGGUUCUUAGAAACGAGCUAUUCCAAACGAACAGUCAAGAGUGGUAAUUUGUGGUGCGCCCUGCAGGAAGUCACAGUUAUCAAAGAUGAUAAGUCUAUUGGUUCGCACAAGCCUUGCUCUACUUGUUUUGAACUUGCUGGUGACACCGGCCGACGCAUUCCGGAACAGAGACGGCAGUUACGGCAAGUAUAACAAAGGCUACAGUGACUCCAGCUACCCUAAGACGUUAGCUGGCACCAGUUCUGGACUUCCAUCCCAGCAGGCUACUCGAAGAGGCUUGGGCAUCUCAGCCUGGGGCAUUGUCCUUGUGGUAGUGGCUUUGAUACUGGCAGGCAUGGGAUUCUACUACUUCUCAAUCUGCUAUGAUAUCUGCCAGCCAACUAAGAACAAAUAUGACAAAAUGGGCAUGCCAACUAUGGCCUAGCUUAACUCAGUAGAGCCCUGUGAUUAGAUUUAGUGAGUUGUAAGAAUUUCAUGCAAUUUGACCUGUAUGCAAUAGCAAAAGUAUAGAUAUUUAUACUGCUGUGGUGUGUUAGAUAUAACUGUCUAGGUUUUAUUAGUAAGGAAACAUACACUAUGUAUGUAUUGACUGAAACUCUCGAAAAGGAGAAUGAUAAAUUGAAACAUUCCUAUAUUCUCAAUGCUAAUUGUUUAUGAGGGUAAUUGUGUUAAAUUUUGAAUCUGAAUGUGGCCUUAGAAUGUCUAAAACAUAUCUUUUAUGAUAUGUUAUGUAAGCAUAUAAAAAUAUAAAGGUUGUGACCUACAUUAAUGAUUUGUAUAUGGACCCUAAAUGAUGUGUAUUUUUCUGAUGAAUUUUGGGGUCAUUUUUGCUUUGAUACACAAUUUGAUGGCUUUAUGAACGUAAAAAAGACUGGUGUGGACCAAUUAAAAUUUAUAAAGACAAAAACAUUUACAUUUUUGUAGUAAUUUAGAUUUUAUAUUUAUAUAAAAUGAACUUUUAUGUGUUCAUUAAAUAUAGUUUUAGCAGAAUAUGUUAAUUGAAGUAACAGAUUCUUAAAAGCAGAUUAAAAGAAUGUACUAUGAUCAGAGUUUACCUCAGACAGAUACUGGUGCCAUACAAACAACAUAAUCACCAUUGUUUUCCUUGUUUAUUUUGUCACUCGUAAUAGUUCUGUAAGCUACAUACCUUGAAUAAAACUAGAUCCCAGCUAUUUAUAACCAUUACUCACAUGAAUUGUUGUAAACAAUAAUACAUUUUUCCAUCAUCACAAUUACCAGAAAUAUUAUUUCACUAAGAAUGCAAAUAGUAUGACUAAACUUAGUUACUUCCUGUAAAAAAAUAUUGUAUAAUCAUUGCUGUAUUGCAAAGUUAUCAUAAAACCAAACAUAACUUUACUCGAAUUAUGAUUAAACUGUAUGACUUGGAUGUUUAUCUAAUGGAAAGAACUAAUUAAGAGAAUGAAGCUGUACAAUUAGAAUAAUCUAGAUGUCACAAACUGUCUCGACUUACCCUAAUUAAACAUCUUAUCAGUAUUAUCCAACAUAAUGCUGUCUGCCCGUCUAUACGUAAGACUGUACACAAACUAGACAUGUAUGUAGAAUAAGUUUCAUAUUGUUCAAAACCAAUGCUCAAAAUAAUAAUGUUAUAUACACAUAAUA